AGCAGCCGCGGUAAUUCCAGCUCCAAUAGCGUAUAUUAAAGUUGUUGCAGUUAAAAAGCUCGUAGUUGAAUUUCGGGAUCAAUACGUCGGUCGUGCUUCGGUACGUACUGGCGUAAUUGAUUUCUCCCUUCUGACGAACCAUGAUGUCAUUAACUUGGUGUCAUGGGAAAUCAGGACUGUUACUUUGAAAAAAUUAGAGUGUUUAAAGCAGGCUCACGCUUGAAUACAUUAGCAUGGAAUAAUGAAAUAGGACGUUCGAUCCUAUUUUGUUGGUUUCUAGGAUUGACGUAAUGAUUAAUAGGGAUAGUUGGGGGCAUUAGUAUUCAAUUGUCAGAGGUGAAAUUCUUGGAUUUAUUGAAGACUAACUACUGCGAAAGCAUUUGCCAAGGAUGUUUUCAUUAAUCAAGAACGAAAGUU
RNAcentral lists this ribosomal RNA (417 nucleotides) under uncultured Glomus. RNAcentral describes it as "SSU rRNA". It matches the Rfam family "Eukaryotic small subunit ribosomal RNA", at positions 569 to 991 of the family's 1831-position model. Lineage: Eukaryota; Fungi; Glomeromycota; Glomeromycetes; Glomerales; Glomeraceae. The record is from RNAcentral.